RNAcentral lists this long non-coding RNA (754 nucleotides) under Crocodylus porosus (Australian saltwater crocodile). Its description in RNAcentral is "lncRNA (ENSCPRG00005004287.1)". Lineage: Eukaryota; Metazoa; Chordata; Crocodylia; Crocodylidae. The record is from RNAcentral.
GUAAAGAGCUUCCAAGCCAUUACAAUGCAUAUUUGCGUACAUUUAUUAUCUUUGUACGUUGUGAUAUAAGCAGUUGUUUCAUUAACAGUAGCAUGAGAUCUGGAUAAAGCCGCCAUUAGGAUGCCAUCCCUUGGUUGCAAUCAAUUGCACUAAUGAUGUUGAGACGAGAGAGCCCAUAUAAAAGAGGUCUCCUUGGACUCCUGUUCUUUCUUCAUUUCAGACAAUAAGGUUAAACUACUCAAAGAAUGAUGACCUAUACAACCUCAGCAUAUCCUUCUUGUAACUCAUGGGUAUCAAGACUAUAAAUGUUUCAUGUAUCACAACUAGGACCUCACAUCCUCUUCCUCCUCCUCCUCUGUAGAUGGGUACGAUGCAUCCAGUUCAGUUUGUUUACUUUACACAAACCUCAGGAGUUCGUUGACUGAACUGCACAUUCUUUGUUGUGCCAUGCAAAAGCACUGUGACACCUGGACAAUGAGUCUUUUACUUCAUCCUCUGCUAUACAGACUUAGCUGGCCACAAUGAACUGAUGUGCCCACCACUGUGUCAUGGUAUUUUCAAUAUCUUCACCUCCAAAAUCCCACUGGGACAAGAAAUAGAGAUGCCAGAAUAUCACAAGGAAUAUUGCAGAGUAAUCUUGCUCCAAUUGGACAUGGGAGCUACAGGCAAGCACAGAAAUAAUCAGCCCAGCUUUGGUGCCUUUUGCAAUGUAAGUUGCUUUCCCUGUUGGUUGGCUGUGCCUGUUUCAGGGUAA